GUUUAGUUGCACAGUAUCUGUUGGUCUGUGCACUUGAAAAAUUUAUUUAAUUAAAAUAAUGUCCGGAAACGAGGUUUAUUUAUGUGCUGAACCUCUGCGUGAAAAAGGACUUGCCAAAAACCUUACGCACACUUCUACUGAAGUAAAGUUUACAAAUGGCCAAAAUUAUAAUAUUUCAUAUGGUUUGGACGGGGUAACAAGUUCCUUAGGAACAGGAUGCUCGCCCUGUGAAGAUAAAGGAAAAGCCAUUUUUAUAGGACAUACUGAUAAAACAGUAGAGGAAAUCACAGCUGAAACUAAAAAGAUGGAAGAAACAACAUUUAAGGAAUACAAUGUGUUAACUAAAAAUUGCAAUUUGUUUAGUGAUACAUUGACAAUGUUUCUAUGUGGCCGAAAUAUUCCAUUCUUUUAUUGGGGUCAAUCACUUUGGGUUUCUAUUUUAAUAGUGAUCAUCAUCGGAUUGAUAAUUUUGGCAGCAGUGUCAGUUGUCAAGUAUUUCAAAAGGAAAAAUAAGAGGACAGCACAUAAUUCUAGCGAAAAACGAAUCCGUAUAAAAAAUAAUUAAUUUGCUUGAACACGAAGGUUUUUUUAUGCCGUUGUAUUUUUUUUUUUCGAAUUUGGAGCUUUUUUCCUUCCUAAUAAAAAAAUUAAAUAAAAUUA
This is a long non-coding RNA of Culicoides brevitarsis, 660 nucleotides long. RefSeq lists it as uncharacterized. The transcript is spliced from 3 exons. NCBI's taxonomy places the organism in Eukaryota, Metazoa, Arthropoda, Insecta, Diptera, Ceratopogonidae. The record is from RefSeq and is a predicted model, not a curated record.